RNAcentral lists this long non-coding RNA (2008 nucleotides) under Pectinophora gossypiella (pink bollworm). RNAcentral's name for it is "uncharacterized LOC126382015". Lineage: Eukaryota; Metazoa; Arthropoda; Insecta; Lepidoptera; Gelechiidae. The record is from RNAcentral.
AGAUUUUAUAAAUGUUUUAUGUUUAAUGUUUGUUUUUAGUGUGUUUAUGUGUGCGCUGAUAAAGGCCCAUGCACACUAGCGUCUGCAACGCAGCGUUUUUAUGAACGCCCACUUUAGCGUUUCAUAUUUUUAAGUUUUUUGUUUAGGCGAUUAUAGCCAACUAUUUAAUAUAGUUUAUUCAUGUUGCCCGUGUCAACAUUUUUUAGGCUUUAUGGUAGCCAUUAUUUUAAAUUAAAUUUAAAUUAGGAACCUUAUUAGGUUACUCAUUGUUUUUUUCCUUUUCGACGGAGCGGGUAGUGACUCCUUAAAUAAGCCUCUAGCAACUGUUGUUUUGUUUCUUUGUCUUUGUCUUUAGAAUUGGGAUAUCGAGUGACACUAAGAUAGUCGUCAGCUCAUCAGGGGUAUGAAUGUGGGUAACACCCAGUGAAAUGGAUACUGGGUGCUACUUUAUGAAAGAAGUGAAAGGAGAUCAAUGAAUGGUGAAGAAUAACAGGUCGGGGUAAUUGUUGUGCUUAGGGUUGUGCUGUGUAGAUGUUGUUUGUGCUUCGUUACGUUUUUUUUAUAAAUUGUUGUUGUCUCGUCUUCUGUGACAGAUUUUUUUUUUUAAAUUUGAUAAAAUUUAGACUGGUUGUGCGCUCCAGGCUCUAUGGCUGAGGGCAGCCGUGUUUCUCACCCAGUUCGAAACCUCUCGUGGGUAGGGGGGUAUUGUAACGAAGCAUUUCGGACCAACGAGCCUUGUAGCGACAUCUUGUGGUUUCUGGCGAUAUAUCGUUGUUUUUAUAUUUUACCCGCAGGAAAUCACAGAUGGCGCUGCAGGGUUAUCGAUGGGCCCGAACAUUUUAAUAAUUUUCUUUUCGUUCUUCAAAAUUUGGUAUAUUAAAAUUAUCUGCAACAUUUAUUUUUGAUAUAUUAUAAUUAUAUUGUUUAAAUUUUGGGAUCAAACAAGUCGAUCGAUUGUUGUCGUUGAUUCGGCGAAUUUAUGGUUUGGUAGAUUUUUUCUAGUUUGGCAACUUUGUUCGUGGUUCUUGUGUCAGACUGACAGCUGGCUGAGCUGAGAGACAGGUUAUGAAAAGGGGGGACGUCGCGAGAGCGCCGGAGACUCCACUGCCGUAACAAUAAUGUGGGCAAAUUAAAAGCCACGAUUUAUCGGCGACAUCAAGAGCCGAUGUCUCGAUUUAAAUAAACAGCUUAACCGAGAUGCAACUUCACUGAAAUCCCAUCGCCGAAGGUCCAGUGGGUGGGAUUAGGUUUCAUCCGAGCGAUGCCCAACUAUCCCGGAUGAACCUAUGGGGUUUUUUUUGUUUCCUUUAAGUUUUUAACGUCUUUAAAGUUUUGUUCAAUUUUCUGACGUUUUUAAGUUCUAUGAAGAAGUUUAUGAUUGGAUCAGACUAUUUCAACAAAUUUUGUGAAUGAAGAUUCCUACUGUUUUCUUCUGCAUUUGAGAGUUAUUUCAAGCUUCAUUUCGGCGGAGCUUGCCUUGGUUGUUUGCACGUCGAAGCUUUCCUUUGUGCGGCGCGCAUACGGAUGUGCCGCGCCUCUUCUUUUGUCAACACUCCGGAUAAGGCCCGGUGAAGGACUGCGAGGUUGACCGGUGGACGUGCAGCCCGCCAGCUGCGUAACAGUUGGCCCGCUGCGCCGCCAUCGUCCAGCACGCCCUGGCCUGAGCCGGCCUCAACGCAUCCCCUGUACGGUAUACCGGGACGCCUCAGGUAGGCCUGAUAGUCAGAGGUCCUCGAGUAAGUGAGGUGCCUACAGGUGUACGGACAGUGUUUUAAAUAUAGUGCUAUCUUAUGGUCAUGUCACAGAGAGACACUUUACCUAACGGCCCAUUUCUUUUUUAUGGAAUACCAUUAUAGCAAAUUUGUUUCAGUGGCGCCCUUCUUGGUGAAAUUGUCGCUCUGUACAACCAUUUUAGAAUAUAAGUGGUGUUGGCAUAAACUUUAAGAAUAAAUUUUGUGAAAACAGUGUAUUUUUUUUUAUUAUUAAAAGUGAUGGGAUUUUGUGUGAA